CGGAAUUAUUGGGCGUAAAGCGCGCGUAGGCGGUUUUUUAAGUCUGAUGUGAAAGCCCACGGCUCAACCGUGGAGGGUCAUUGGAAACUGUAAAACUUGAGUGCAGAAGAGGAAAGUGGAAUUCCAUGUGUAGCGGUGAAAUGCGCAGAGAUAUGGAGGAACACCAGUGGCGAAGGCGACUUUCUGGUCUGUAACUGACGCUGAUGUGCGAAAGCGUGGGGAUCAAACAGGAUUAGAUACCCUGGUAGUCAAGGGCG
This 257-nucleotide ribosomal RNA is filed under the name uncultured Staphylococcus sp. RNAcentral describes it as "partial 16S ribosomal RNA". It matches the Rfam family "Bacterial small subunit ribosomal RNA", at positions 546 to 802 of the family's 1533-position model. The record is from RNAcentral. Lineage: Bacteria; Bacillati; Bacillota; Bacilli; Caryophanales; Staphylococcaceae.